AUUGAACGCUGGCGGCAGGCCUAACACAUGCAAGUCGAACGGUAACAGGAAGAAGCUUGCUUCUUUGCUGACGAGUGGCGGACGGGUGAGUAAUGUCUGGGAAACUGCCUGAUGGAGGGGGAUAACUACUGGAAACGGUAGCUAAUACCGCAUAACGUCGCAAGACCAAAGAGGGGGACCUUCGGGCCUCUUGCCAUCGGAUGUGCCCAGAUGGGAUUAGCUAGUAGGUGGGGUAACGGCUCACCUAGGCGACGAUCCCUAGCUGGUCUGAGAGGAUGACCAGCCACACUGGAACUGAGACACGGUCCAGACUCCUACGGGAGGCAGCAGUGGGGAAUAUUGCACAAUGGGCGCAAGCCUGAUGCAGCCAUGCCGCGUGUAUGAUGAAGGCCUUCGGGUUGUAAAGUACUUUCAGCGGGGAGGAAGGGAGUAAAGUUAAUACCUUUGCUCAUUGACGUUACCCGCAGAAGAAGCACCGGCUAACUCCGUG
RNAcentral lists this ribosomal RNA (490 nucleotides) under uncultured bacterium. RNAcentral describes it as "partial 16S ribosomal RNA". It matches the Rfam family "Bacterial small subunit ribosomal RNA", at positions 30 to 507 of the family's 1533-position model. The record is from RNAcentral.